Molecule: unclassified non-coding RNA, 964 nt
Filed under: Hevea brasiliensis (rubber tree)
Lineage: Eukaryota; Viridiplantae; Streptophyta; Magnoliopsida; Malpighiales; Euphorbiaceae
Source: RNAcentral
GGAGUGUUGUGGAUCCAAGGCGGAGCAUGAGGCGGCGAUGUUUUGCCACAGGGAAAGGAGCAAUCUACGGAAAAUAAGAGCACUACAGUGUAAUGAAGAACACUACAGUGGACCUAUUGAACAGAGAGGUGAAAAAGUGGAAAAAGUUGAAGACGAAAGCCCAGCGAAUGGUCAGACAUGAAAGAGAAAGGUCAAGCUCGCCGCUCUUGGUUAGUGACCUUGGUGCUUUUAUUAUUUGGAAAUUCUGAGAAUAAGGUGUUUGGUGAUUUUAUUAUUUGUAAUUCUGAGAUUGAGGUGUCUGGUGCUUUUACUAUAAAUUUUAAAUAAGACUAUGAAGUUGUGAUUUGGAGAUUUUAGAUCUCUUUAGAAUGAGUUUACUGUAAAUUUUUUUUAAUGGUUUUAAGGUGUUUGGUGCUUUUAUUAUCUGGAAUUUUAAGAUUAAGGUAAGGAAGAGUGUGAGGUAAAGAGGCGUUUGAAAUAGAAAUUCCAGCUAUAAUAGCAACUAUGAGUUGUGAGUACAAAUCCCCCAUUGAAAGCCAGGACAUCACAAGGUAUUUUACCACCUAGCUAGAUGAAUUUUUCUGUCUAAUGGGUCUAAUUUGUGCACCAUGAUGUUCUUUUAUAUCCCCAAGUGUCCCAACAGCCCUUAAAACCAAUUACAAGGGCUUGGCUCUCUUUCCAUGCUUAUAUGUCUCUGCUUUAUUUCUUAUUUCAGUUUCUGCAAUGCUUGAACUAAGACACUUUUAAUGUGAAAUUAAAUAUAACAAAGCAAUAUCAUAGAAUUGCUUGUAAAUAGCCGUCUUACUAUAGUAUAGUCAUGGUCAAUAUAGUAUGGUGGUAUAGUCAUGGCACCUUCUGUUUUAUCAUGUUAUAAGAGGAGCAUAUACUUGACAGCUUGGUGUAAACAAUUCUAUGGCUUUGCCUUUUGGGUAAGAAAUGAUACUUUUGUUUAAUCCAUUAAAGG